RNAcentral lists this ribosomal RNA (1118 nucleotides) under Schizopygopsis stoliczkai (false osman). RNAcentral describes it as "partial 16S ribosomal RNA". It matches the Rfam family "Bacterial large subunit ribosomal RNA", at positions 157 to 2065 of the family's 2925-position model. Lineage: Eukaryota; Metazoa; Chordata; Actinopteri; Cypriniformes; Cyprinidae. The record is from RNAcentral.
GCCAAACAGCUAGCUCAAUUACCCAAUAACUAAACAAUAUAAAUAAAACAAAAUAAGCCUAACACCAAAAAUUAAAUCAUUCUUUUACCUUAGUAUGGGCGACAGAAAAGGUUACACCUGGAGCAAUAGAAAAAGUACCGCAAGGGAAAGCUGAAAGAGAAAUGAAAUAACUUAUAUAAGCACCAAAAAGCAAAGAUUAAAUCUUGUACCUUUCGCAUCAUGAUUUAGCCAGUAUAUCCAAGCAAAGAGACCUUUAGUUUGAAACCCCGAAACCAAGUGAGCUACCCCGAGACAGCCUAUUAAGGGCCAACCCGUCUCUGUGGCAAAAGAGUGGGAAGAGCUCCGGGUAGAGGUGACAGACCUACCGAACUUGGUGAUAGCUGGUUGCCUAAGAAGUGAAUAGAAGUUCAGCCUCGUACUCCCUGAAUCAAAAGAUAUAAAAAGAUAUUAGAGGGAAAUAUAUGAGAGUUAGUUAAAGGGGGUACAGCCCCUUUAACAAAGGACACAACCUUUCCAGGAGGAUAAAGAUCAUAAUACAUAAGACAUCCUGUUCUAGUGGGCCUAAAGGCAGCCAUCUAAACAGAAAGCGUUAAAGCUCAGACAGAAAUAAGUUUAUUAUUCCGACAAGAAAUCUUACUCCCCUAAAUAUUAUUAGGCCAGCCCAUGCCCACAUGGGAGAGACUAUGCUAAAAUGAGUAACAAGAAGGCCAGCCCUUCUCCAAGCACAAGUGUAAGCCAAACCGGACUGACCAUUGGCAAUUAACGAACUCAACCCGAGAGAGUAAUGUGUAUUACAACGAAACCAGGAAGAACCCACAAUUAACCCAUCGUUACCCCCACACUGGCGUGCUAUUAAAGGAAAGACUAAAAGAAGGGAAAGGAACUCGGCAAACACAAGCCUCGCCUGUUUACCAAAAACAUCGCCUCCUGCAACACAACCAAGUAUAGGAGGUCCAGCCUGCCCAGUGACUACAAGUUCAACGGCCGCGGUAUUUUGACCGUGCAAAGGUAGCGCAAUCACUUGUCUCUUAAAUGGAGACCUGUAUGAAUGGCUAAACGAGGGCUUAACUGUCUCCCCCCUCCAGUCAGUGAAAUUGAUCUACCCGUGCAGAAGCGGG